Telopea speciosissima is the source of this 351-nucleotide long non-coding RNA. RefSeq lists it as uncharacterized. Lineage: Eukaryota; Viridiplantae; Streptophyta; Magnoliopsida; Proteales; Proteaceae. The transcript has 3 exons. The record is from RefSeq and is a predicted model, not a curated record.
AUUUUUUUUUGGGUAAAAAACCCCAUAAAGUGGGGGUGAAGUUAGUACACGGGUUAGUAGUCAAGUGUUUCAGUUAGAUUAGGAUACUUAAUAGCUUUUAAGAUUUCUACUUUGAAUAUAUUUAUUUUAUUGAGUGUGUGAGAGUGAUUAGGACUUAGGAGUACUUUUAUAAGUCAAUUUAGGAUUUUCAGAAGGUAAAUAUGUAAUACACCCCCAUCAAUUAAGGAUGGUUUGGAUAAAGUAAUUUAAGUUUUUUUUCAAGAGUUUUGGUGUUGUUGAGCAUUGCAUACAGGAUUGGAAUCUCAAACCUGAUUUCCCUCCUACCUUCUUCUGAUAUACUUUUAACAGGUG